UGGGGAAUUUUGGACAAUGGGCGAAAGCCUGAUCCAGCAAUGCCGCGUGUGUGAAGAAGGCCUUCGGGUUGUAAAGCACUUUUGUCCGGAAAGAAAUCCUUGGCUCUAAUACAGUCGGGGGAUGACGGUACCGGAAGAAUAAGCACCGGCUAACUACGUGCCAGCAGCCGCGGUAAUACGUAGGGUGCAAGCGUUAAUCGGAAUUACUGGGCGUAAAGCGUGCGCAGGCGGUUUGCUAAGACCGAUGUGAAAUCCCCGGGCUCAACCUGGGAACUGCAUUGGUGACUGGCAGGCUAGAGUAUGGCAGAGGGGGGUAGAAUUCCACGUGUAGCAGUGAAAUGCGUAGAGAUGUGGAGGAAUACCGAUGGCGAAGGCAGCCCCCUGGGCCAAUACUGACGCUCAUGCACGAAAGCGUGGGGGAGCAAACAGGAUUAGAUACCCUGGUAGUCCACGCCCUAAACGAUGUCAACUAGUUGUUGGGGAUUCAUUUCCUUAGUAACGUAGCUAACGCGUGAAGUUGACCGCCUGGGGAGUACGGUCGCAAGAUUAAAACUUAAAGGAAUUGACGGGGUCAUAGCUGUUUCCU
This 586-nucleotide ribosomal RNA is filed under the name uncultured bacterium. RNAcentral's name for it is "partial 16S ribosomal RNA". It matches the Rfam family "Bacterial small subunit ribosomal RNA", at positions 355 to 1375 of the family's 1533-position model. The record is from RNAcentral.